This 498-nucleotide ribosomal RNA is filed under the name uncultured bacterium. RNAcentral describes it as "partial 16S ribosomal RNA". It matches the Rfam family "Bacterial small subunit ribosomal RNA", at positions 28 to 507 of the family's 1533-position model. The record is from RNAcentral.
GACGAACGCUGGCGGCGUGCCUAAUACAUGCAAGUCGAACGGGAGCGACCGGUGCUUGCACUGGUCAAUCUAGUGGCGAACGGGUGAGUAACACGUGGGUAACCUGCCCAUCAGAGGGGGAUAACAUUCGGAAACGGAUGCUAAAACCGCAUAGGUCUUCGAACCGCAUGGUUUGAAGAGGAAAAGAGGCGCAAGCUUCUGCUGAUGGAUGGACCCGCGGUGCAUUAGCUAGUUGGUGAGGUAACGGCUCACCAAGGCCGUGAUGCAUAGCCGACCUGAGAGGGUGAUCGGCCACAUUGGGACUGAGACACGGCCCAAACUCCUACGGGAGGCAGCAGUAGGGAAUCUUCCGCAAUGGACGCAAGUCUGACGGAGCAACGCCGCGUGAGUGAAGAAGGUUUUCGGAUCGUAAAACUCUGUUGUUAGAGAAGAAUAAGUGCUAGAGUAACUGUUAGCGCCUUGACGGUAGCUAACCAGAAAGCCACGGCUAACUACGUG